RNAcentral lists this ribosomal RNA (467 nucleotides) under uncultured bacterium. Its description in RNAcentral is "partial 16S ribosomal RNA". It matches the Rfam family "Bacterial small subunit ribosomal RNA", at positions 28 to 507 of the family's 1533-position model. The record is from RNAcentral.
GACGAACGCUGGCGGCGUGCUUAACACAUGCAAGUCGAACGGAAAGGCCCUGCUUUUGUGGGUGCUCGAGUGGCGAACGGGUGAGUAACACGUGAGUAACCUGCCCUUGACUUUGGGAUAACUUCAGGAAACUGGGGCUAAUACCGGAUAGGAGCUCCUGCUGCUUGGUGGGGGUUGGAAAGUUUCGGCGGUUGGGGAUGGACUCGCGGCUUAUCAGCUUGUUGGUGGGGUAGUGGCUUACCAAGGCUUUGACGGGUAGCCGGCCUGAGAGGGUGACCGGCCACAUUGGGACUGAGAUACGGCCCAGACUCCUACGGGAGGCAGCAGUGGGGAAUAUUGCACAAUGGGCGGAAGCCUGAUGCAGCAACGCCGCGUGCGGGAUGACGGCCUUCGGGUUGUAAACCGCUUUCGCCUGUGACGAAGCGUGAGUGACGGUAAUGGGUAAAGAAGCACCGGCCAACUACGUG